RNAcentral lists this long non-coding RNA (228 nucleotides) under Brassica rapa (field mustard). RNAcentral describes it as "long non-coding RNA (BRAP_LNC007921)". The record is from RNAcentral. Lineage: Eukaryota; Viridiplantae; Streptophyta; Magnoliopsida; Brassicales; Brassicaceae.
AGGUGACACGGAUAUAUGAAGAUGUGCUCAAGAGGUUGUCUACGUAGCUAAUAUGGUCUCCCAUUUCUUCAAUGGAACCACCUACUCGGUCCGGCCAUUUUUAUUGACACGAGCAGAAAUAUACCAUUAUCAUAAUAAAUAACAAUAAAUGAAACUAAUAAAUACCAAUAAUACCAGGCAGUAGACACCAUCCAUACCGGUCUCGACGCUCUUCCAUCUUCCACCGUC